UACAGAGGGUGCAAGCGUUAAUCGGAGUUACUGGGCGUAAAGGGCGCGUAGGCGGUUGUUUAAGUUAGAUGUGAAAUCCCUGGGCUUAACCUAGGAACUGCAUCUGAUACUGGAUGACUAGAGUACUGUAGAGGGUAGUGGAAUUUCCGGUGUAGCGGUGAAAUGCGUAGAGAUCGGAAGGAACACCAGUGGCGAGGGCGGCUACCUGGACAGAUACUGACGCUGAGGCGCGAGAGCGUGGGGAGCAAACAGG
RNAcentral lists this ribosomal RNA (253 nucleotides) under uncultured bacterium. Its description in RNAcentral is "partial 16S ribosomal RNA". It matches the Rfam family "Bacterial small subunit ribosomal RNA", at positions 524 to 776 of the family's 1533-position model. The record is from RNAcentral.